Molecule: ribosomal RNA, 509 nt
Filed under: uncultured bacterium
Lineage: Bacteria
Description: bacterial SSU rRNA
Rfam family: Bacterial small subunit ribosomal RNA
Source: RNAcentral
CCCUAGUGGCGGACGGGUGAGUAACGCGUAGGUAUCUGUCCAUGGGUGGGGGAUAACAGCGGGAAACUGCUGCUAAUACCGCAUGACACCUGAGGGUCAAAGGCGCAAGUCGCCUGUGGAGGAGCCUGCGUCCGAUUAGCUUGUUGGUGGGGUAAUGGCCUACCAAGGCGAUGAUCGGUAGCUGGUCUGAGAGGACGAUCAGCCACACUGGGACUGAGACACGGCCCAGACUCCUACGGGAGGCAGCAGUGGGGAAUAUUGGACAAUGGGCGAAAGCCUGAUCCAGCAAUGCCGCGUGGAUGAAGAAGGUCUUCGGAUUGUAAAGUCCUUUCGGCGGGGACGAUGAUGACGGUACCCGCAGAAGAAGCCCCGGCUAACUUCGUGCCAGCAGCCGCGGUAAUACGAAGGGGGCUAGCGUUGCUCGGAAUGACUGGGCGUAAAGGGCGCGUAGGCGGUUUGAUCAGUUAGGUGUGAAAUUCCUGGGCUUAACCUGGGGGCUGCACUUAAUA